CGACGCCGCGUGCGGGAUGAAGGCCUUCGGGUUGUAAACCGCUUCACCAGGGAAGGAUCCAAGACGGUACCUGGGGAAGAAGCGCCCGGCUAACUACGUGC
This 101-nucleotide ribosomal RNA is filed under the name uncultured bacterium. RNAcentral's name for it is "partial 16S ribosomal RNA". It matches the Rfam family "Bacterial small subunit ribosomal RNA", at positions 392 to 508 of the family's 1533-position model. The record is from RNAcentral.